Molecule: non-coding RNA, 81 nt
Organism: Arachnomyces sp. PD_36
Lineage: Eukaryota; Fungi; Ascomycota; Eurotiomycetes; Onygenales; Arachnomycetaceae
Source: the annotation of a GenBank genome assembly
GCUGGCAUGGCCAAGUUGGUAAGGCGCAUCACUAGUACAACCGCAAUGAUGAGAUCCUCGGUUCGAAUCCGAGUGCUAGCA